Molecule: transfer RNA, 61 nt
Filed under: Dipodomys ordii (Ord's kangaroo rat)
Lineage: Eukaryota; Metazoa; Chordata; Mammalia; Rodentia; Heteromyidae
Rfam family: tRNA
About the family: Transfer RNA (tRNA) molecules are approximately 80 nucleotides in length.
Source: Rfam by way of RNAcentral
GGGAAUGUGGCUUAGUGGUAGAGUGCUUGCCUAGCAUGCAUGAAGUCCUAUUCCAUUCCUC